Molecule: ribosomal RNA, 138 nt
Filed under: uncultured bacterium
Lineage: Bacteria
Description: partial 16S ribosomal RNA
Rfam family: Bacterial small subunit ribosomal RNA
Source: RNAcentral
UGGGGAAUAUUGCGCAAUGGGCGAAAGCCUGACGCAGCGACGCCGCGUGAGGGAUGAAGGUCUUCGGAUCGUAAACCUCUGUCAGCAGGGAAGAACGGUCACUGUGCUAAUCAGCAGUGAAUUGGACCGGUACCUGAC